RNAcentral lists this ribosomal RNA (433 nucleotides) under uncultured bacterium. Its description in RNAcentral is "partial 16S ribosomal RNA". It matches the Rfam family "Bacterial small subunit ribosomal RNA", at positions 30 to 507 of the family's 1533-position model. The record is from RNAcentral.
AGCGAACGCUGGCGGCAGGCUUAACACAUGCGAGUCGAGCGGGCCCUUCGGGGUCAGCGGCAGACGGGUGAGUAACGCGUGGGAACGUGCCCUUCGGUUCGGAAUAACUCAGGGAAACUUGAGCUAAUACCGGAUACGCCCUUAUGGGGAAUGGUUUACUGCCGAAGGAUCGGCCCGCGUCUGAUUAGCUAGUUGGUGAGGUUAUGGCUCACCAAGGCGACGAUCAGUAGCUGGUCUGAGAGGAUGAUCAGCCACACUGGGACUGAGACACGGCCCAGACUACGAGGGGGGCGAGAGGUGGGAAGUGUGGAAAAAGGGGGGCACCCGGAACCAGGCCGUGCCGGGGGGGUAGAGAGGGCAUGGGGGGGGAAAAGCUCUUUUCUCGGGGAGGAUAAUGCCGGUGCGGGAGAAAAAGGCCCGGGCUAACUCCGUG